AAGCUACACUCUGUGGCAGAAGUCUGCAAAGACGAUGAUCUGUCUCAAUUUGAGCUUUGCUACAGAAAUGUCCUGUCUUCUCUCUCUGCGGCGUCCUCUCUGGACGUUCUGCUGCAGACAUGAUGGGGGACAUUCACAGC
This 140-nucleotide small nucleolar RNA is filed under the name Kryptolebias marmoratus (mangrove rivulus). Its description in RNAcentral is "Small nucleolar RNA SNORA28 (ENSKMAG00000000675.1)". The record is from RNAcentral. Lineage: Eukaryota; Metazoa; Chordata; Actinopteri; Cyprinodontiformes; Rivulidae.